CCUCGGCAGUACCGGUACCGGUACCCAGCGCCAUGCGCGGCUAAGAUGGCGACGUGAAGGGCGGACCCGCGAAGCCUCCAUCUCUCACGGUGAUUCAUCCUCCUAGCCCUGAGCGAGAUGGAGGACGGUCUUCUCUCCCUCAAGUGGAACAACCACAGAUCCACUUUUUUCCACAUCCUCAGUGAAGUCCGGGGAAAACACACGUACACGGAUGCGACGCUGGCGUGUGAGGGCAAGUUCUUCCCGGUGCACAAGCUGGUCAUGUCCACCUGCAGCGACUACUUCAUGGAGAUCUUUGAGAAGACGC
Eriocheir sinensis (Chinese mitten crab) is the source of this 307-nucleotide long non-coding RNA. RefSeq lists it as uncharacterized. Lineage: Eukaryota; Metazoa; Arthropoda; Malacostraca; Decapoda; Varunidae. The transcript has 3 exons. The record is from RefSeq and is a predicted model, not a curated record.